Mastomys coucha (southern multimammate mouse) is the source of this 105-nucleotide small nuclear RNA. Lineage: Eukaryota; Metazoa; Chordata; Mammalia; Rodentia; Muridae. The record is from RefSeq and is a predicted model, not a curated record.
GUGCUCACUUCGGCAGUACUUAUCCUAAACUUGGAAUGAUACAAGAGAUUAGCAUGGCCCUUGCACAAGGAUGACACGCAAAUUCGUGAAGCAUUCCAUAUUUUU